UACAGAGGGGGCAAGCGUUGUUCGGAAUUACUGGGCGUAAAGGGCGCGUAGGCGGCCUCUUAAGUCGAACGUGAAAUCCCCGGGCUCAACCCGGGAACUGCGUCCGAUACUGGGAGGCUUGAAUCCGGGAGAGGGAUGCGGAAUUCCAGGUGUAGCGGUGAAAUGCGUAGAUAUCUGGAGGAACACCGGUGGCGAAGGCGGCAUCCUGGACCGAGACUGACGCUGAGGAGCGAAAGCCAGGGGAGCAAACGGG
RNAcentral lists this ribosomal RNA (253 nucleotides) under uncultured bacterium. RNAcentral describes it as "partial 16S ribosomal RNA". It matches the Rfam family "Bacterial small subunit ribosomal RNA", at positions 524 to 776 of the family's 1533-position model. The record is from RNAcentral.